This 253-nucleotide ribosomal RNA is filed under the name uncultured bacterium. Its description in RNAcentral is "partial 16S ribosomal RNA". It matches the Rfam family "Bacterial small subunit ribosomal RNA", at positions 524 to 776 of the family's 1533-position model. The record is from RNAcentral.
UACGUAGGGUGCAAGCGUUGUCCGGAAUUAUUGGGCGUAAAGAGCUCGUAGGCGGUUUGUCGCGUCGGCUGUGAAAUCCGGAGGCUCAACCUCCGGCCUGCAGUGGGUACGGGCAGACUAGAGUGCGGUAGGGGAGAUUGGAAUUCCUGGUGUAGCGGUGGAAUGCGCAGAUAUCAGGAGGAACACCGAUGGCGAAGGCAGAUCUCUGGGCCGUAACUGACACUGAGGAGCGAAAGCGUGGGGAGCGAACAGG